Molecule: ribosomal RNA, 163 nt
Filed under: Amaranthus tuberculatus
Lineage: Eukaryota; Viridiplantae; Streptophyta; Magnoliopsida; Caryophyllales; Amaranthaceae
Description: 5.8S ribosomal RNA
Rfam family: 5.8S ribosomal RNA
About the family: 5.8S ribosomal RNA (5.8S rRNA) is a component of the large subunit of the eukaryotic ribosome. It is transcribed by RNA polymerase I as part of the 45S precursor that also contains 18S and 28S rRNA.
Source: RNAcentral
UGAACGACUCUCGGCAACGGAUAUCUUGGCUCUCGCAUCGAUGAAGAACGUAGCGAAAUGCGAUACUUGGUGUGAAUUGCAGAAUCCCGUGAACCAUCGAGUUUUUGAACGCAAGUUGCGCCCGAAGCCUUUGGCCAGGGCACGUCUGCCUGGGCGUCACGCA